This 72-nucleotide transfer RNA is filed under the name Occallatibacter sp. RNAcentral describes it as "tRNA-Pro". It matches the Rfam family "tRNA". From Rfam's summary of the family: Transfer RNA (tRNA) molecules are approximately 80 nucleotides in length. Their secondary structure includes four short double-helical elements and three loops (D, anti-codon, and T loops). The record is from RNAcentral. Lineage: Bacteria; Pseudomonadati; Acidobacteriota; Terriglobia; Terriglobales; Acidobacteriaceae.
GGGCCUAUGGUCUAGUGGUAUGAUUCCUACUUAGGGUGUAGGAGGUCGCGGGUUCAAUCCCCGCUGGGCCCC